Molecule: ribosomal RNA, 254 nt
Filed under: uncultured bacterium
Lineage: Bacteria
Description: partial 16S ribosomal RNA
Rfam family: Bacterial small subunit ribosomal RNA
Source: RNAcentral
UACGUAGGGCGCAAGCGUUAUCCGGAAUUAUUGGGCGUAAAGAGCUCGUAGGCGGUGUGUCGCGUCGGCCGUGAAAACCUGCAGCUUAACUGUGGGCUUGCGGUCGAUACGGGCAUCACUGGAGUUCGGCAGGGGAGACUGGAAUUCCUGGUGUAGCGGUGAAAUGCGCAGAUAUCAGGAGGAACACCGGUGGCGAAGGCGGUUCUCUGGGCAUUACCUGACGCUGAGGAGCGAAAGUGUGGGGGGCGAACAGG